UACAGAGGUCUCAAGCGUUGUUCGGAUUCAUUGGGCGUAAAGGGCUCGUAGGUGGCCAACUAAGUCAGACGUGAAAUCCCUCGGCUUAACCGGGGAACUGCGUCUGAUACUGGAUGGCUUGAGUUUGGGAGAGGGAUGCGGAAUUCCAGGUGUAGCGGUGAAAUGCGUAGAUAUCUGGAGGAACACCGGUGGCGAAGGCGGCAUCCUGGACCAACACUGACACUGAGGAGCGAAAGCCAGGGGAGCAAACGGG
RNAcentral lists this ribosomal RNA (253 nucleotides) under uncultured bacterium. Its description in RNAcentral is "partial 16S ribosomal RNA". It matches the Rfam family "Bacterial small subunit ribosomal RNA", at positions 524 to 776 of the family's 1533-position model. The record is from RNAcentral.